GAAAUUCCAAUUUGACCUCUUUGAUCGGAACCUUUCUUUGAGCUUGCCAGGCAGUUCGAUAAGUUCACCAUUAAUCAAAGUUCAUCAUUUCUUUAUUUGAAUUGGUCGGAGUGACUUAAUCAUUUCCCUGCUCUAGCUUUGCGUUUUUCCUAAUUUUCGCGGCAUGUAUCUAUUUUCAUUCUUUGGUUGUUCACAGUAUCUGGGCAAGAUCAGUUUUCAACCUGAAUUUCUCUCGUCUACCUCUAGCGAUUUGGUAAAUUUUGACAAGUUAUUUUUGUCAUAUCUCAUAAUUAAAGCAGAAAUUAAAGAAAGGUGAGAAGCAGAUAACUUGCUGAAUGCUAAGGUAUACGGUUUCCACUAAUUAAUCUAAGCGCAUAAUUUAGCUAAAGCUAAUGCCUUCCUCUAAAUUGUUUCAGGAGAUGCAUUACCACUUUGCUACUGAUAAAGC
Molecule: long non-coding RNA, 448 nt
Filed under: Olea europaea (common olive)
Lineage: Eukaryota; Viridiplantae; Streptophyta; Magnoliopsida; Lamiales; Oleaceae
Description: long non-coding RNA (OEUR_LNC003201)
Source: RNAcentral